Molecule: ribosomal RNA, 245 nt
Filed under: uncultured bacterium
Lineage: Bacteria
Description: partial 16S ribosomal RNA
Rfam family: Bacterial small subunit ribosomal RNA
Source: RNAcentral
UACGUAGGGGGCGAGCGUUGUCCGAAUUUACAGGGCGUAGAGCGCGCGUAGGCGGACUUUUAAGUUGGGGGUGAAGUUCCGAGGCUCAACUUCGGAACUGCCUUCAAAACUGGAAGUCUUGAGGUAUGGAGAGGGAAGUGGAAUUCCUGGUGUAGCGGUGAAAUGCGUAGAUAUCAGGAGGAACACCCGUGGCGAAGGCGGCUUCCUGGCCAUAUCCUGACGCUGAGGUGCGAAAGCUAGGGGAG